This 468-nucleotide ribosomal RNA is filed under the name uncultured bacterium. Its description in RNAcentral is "partial 16S ribosomal RNA". It matches the Rfam family "Bacterial small subunit ribosomal RNA", at positions 28 to 507 of the family's 1533-position model. The record is from RNAcentral.
GACGAACGCUGGCGGCGUGCUUAACACAUGCAAGUCGAACGGUGAAAGAAGAGCUUGCUCUUCUUGAUCAUUGGCGAACGGGUGAGUAACACGUGAGUAACCUGCCCCUAACUCUGGAGUAAGCGCUCGAAACGGCGUCUCAUACCGGAUACGAUACAUAGCUGCAUGUCUACUGUCUGUGAAGUCUUUCGGUAUGGGAUGGACUCGCGGCCUAUCAGCUUGUUGGUGAGGUAACGGCUCACAAAGGCAACGACGGGUAGCCGGCCUGAGAGGGCUACCGGCCACACUGGGACUGAGAGACGGACCAGACGCGUACGGGAGGCAGCAGUGGGGAAUAUUGCGCAAUGGGCGAACGCCUGAUGCAGAGACGCCGCGUGAGGGAUGACGGCCUUCGGGUUGUAAACCUCUGUCAGCAGGGAAGAAGCGAAAGUGACGGUACCUGCAGAAGAAGCAACGGCUAACUACGUG